GACGAACUGUGCGAACGUUAUUCGGAAUGACUGGGCGUAAAGAGCGUGAAGGCGGCAUUAUAAGUUGUGUGUAAAAGCCUGGGGCUUACCCCCAGAACCGCAGACAAUACUGUAAAGCUAGAAUGCAAGAGAGAGGGGUAGAAUUCUCGGAGUAGCGGUAAAAUGCGUAGAUCUCGAGAGGAACACCGAAGGCGAAGGCAGCCCCUUGGCUUGUAAUUGACGCUGGAGCGCGAAAGCGUGGGGAGCAAACAGG
Molecule: ribosomal RNA, 253 nt
Filed under: uncultured bacterium
Lineage: Bacteria
Description: partial 16S ribosomal RNA
Rfam family: Bacterial small subunit ribosomal RNA
Source: RNAcentral